UAGGGAAUCUUCGGCAAUGGACGAAAGUCUGACCGAGCAACGCCGCGUGAGUGAAGAAGGUUUUCGGAUCGUAAAACUCUGUUGUUAGAGAAGAACAAGGACGUUAGUAACUGAACGUCCCCUGACGGUAUCUAACCAGAAAGCCACGGCUAACUACGUGCCAGCAGCCGCGGUAAUACGCAGGUGGCAAGCGUGGUCCGGAUUUAUUGGGCGUAAAGCGAGCGCAGGCGGUUUCUUAAGUCUGAUGUGAAAGCCCCCGGCUCAACCGGGGAGGGUCAUUGGAAACUGGGUGGCUUGAGUGCAGAAGAGGAGGGUGGAAUUCCAUGUGUGGCGGUGAAAUGCGUAGAUAUAUGGAGGAACACCAGUGGCGAAGGCGGCUCUCUGGUCUGUAACUGACGCUGAGGCUCGAAAGCGUGGGGAGCAAACAGG
Molecule: ribosomal RNA, 429 nt
Filed under: Gemmatimonadota bacterium
Lineage: Bacteria; Pseudomonadati; Gemmatimonadota
Description: Gemmatimonadetes bacterium partial 16S ribosomal RNA
Rfam family: Bacterial small subunit ribosomal RNA
Source: RNAcentral